GUAUUUCAAGCCAGCAUUGUGCAAGAACUUAAAGAAGAAAAAAUAGACAACAUUGAAGUUCAAGAAAUUGAAGAUUCGUUGAUAGAAAUUAGAUCUCUAGAUGAGCCCAUAAUCCACAAUUUUACCCAUCAUUGGCAGUUUGAUGUUGGUGUGUAUGUAAAGAAAAAGAAGAUAACAACUUCUUUUAGGAAGGAAUAUCUAGAGAGAAUCAAAUCCCCUA
This 220-nucleotide unclassified non-coding RNA is filed under the name Hevea brasiliensis (rubber tree). The record is from RNAcentral. Lineage: Eukaryota; Viridiplantae; Streptophyta; Magnoliopsida; Malpighiales; Euphorbiaceae.